RNAcentral lists this transfer RNA (68 nucleotides) under Marmota monax (woodchuck). RNAcentral's name for it is "tRNA.Glu". Lineage: Eukaryota; Metazoa; Chordata; Mammalia; Rodentia; Sciuridae. The record is from RNAcentral.
GGAUAUAGCUCAGUUGGUAGAGUGCUUGCCUUUCAUAUGCAAGGUCCUGGGUUUAAUCCUCAGCACCG